Molecule: ribosomal RNA, 520 nt
Filed under: uncultured Glomus
Lineage: Eukaryota; Fungi; Glomeromycota; Glomeromycetes; Glomerales; Glomeraceae
Description: SSU rRNA
Rfam family: Eukaryotic small subunit ribosomal RNA
Source: RNAcentral
AGCAGCCGCGGUAAUUCCAGCUCCAAUAGCGUAUAUUAAAGUUGUUGCAGUUAAAAAGCUCGUAGUUGAAUUUCGGGGUUAGUAGGUUGGUCAUGCCUCUGGUAUGUACUGGUCUCACUGAUUCCUCCUUCCUGAUGAACCGUAAUGCCAUUAAUUUGGUGUUGCGGGGAAUUUGGACUGUUACUUUGAAAAAAUUGAGUGUUUAAAGCAAGCUAACGCUUGAAUACAUUAGCAUGGAAUAAUGAAAUAGGACGUUCGAUCCUAUUUUGUUGGUUUCUAGGAUUGACGUAAUGAUUAAUAGGGAUAGUUGGGGGCAUUAGUAUUCAAUUGUCAGAGGUGAAAUUCUUGGAUUUAUUGAAGACUAACUACUGCGAAAGCAUUUGCCAAGGAUGUUUCAUUAAUCAAGAACGAAGUUAGGGAUCGAAGACGAUCAGAUACCGUGUAGUACUUAACCAAUAACUAUGACCGUACGUAGGGAGUACGGAUAGUAUUAGUUUUAAAUUUUUAUACGUACUUCUAG